Molecule: non-coding RNA, 2105 nt
Organism: Anolis sagrei ordinatus
Lineage: Eukaryota; Metazoa; Chordata; Lepidosauria; Squamata; Anolidae
Source: RefSeq, a predicted model, not a curated record
GGAGGCUCGCUGAAGCUAGAGAGAAGGAGGGAAGGAAAGAGGCAGGGAGGGAGGGAGGGGGGAAGGUGUACUGCCCCCCCCCUCCGCCUCUUUCCCCUCCAAAGGCCCUUUUCCAGCGCCAGGCAGAGGGCGAGCCAGAAGCCGGCGAGGAGCCAGUCUCGGGGCCUGUGCGACGCGAAAAGAUGGCGCUGCCUUGCCUCGCCUGGCUCCCCUCCCCCUCCAUCCUCCUCCUCCCCUUCCCCUCUCGGCUGCUUCCACUUCCUCCCCAGGAACGCCGCUCCUGCAGCCGGACACCGUCCUUCCUUUAAUAGCUCUCGAAGAAUGAGAAGAAAAUAAGAGGAACAAGGAACAGAAGUGGAGAAAGAAGAGCAGAGGAAUCUUGCCUCUCUAGAGAAAAGGAGACAAAAGUCAAAGUAAGAAAAUCUACAGAAGCCUAAGAGCAGAAAUGAAAGGAAGUGAAGUGACGAAAGAAGACAAAGCUAGAAUUACAAGGCUGAGAAUAGUGAUUGUGUCUGACUGCAGUUGUGAAUGUUGGCUUCUGAAUUAUACCAUCAUAUGUGUUUUAUAGUAGGGGAAACAAGGGUACACCUGAAAGGGGCAUUAUAAGUCACACUGAAACAGUCAGUACCCAUGCACAGGCUGUCUGAUAAGCUUAUCACCCCUUUUAAAGUACUUCAAUAAAAUAUGUUUUAAUUAUAAAUACCAACAGCCUGCAGAUAAUCCCUGUGCUUUUGCCCCAAUUGUCCAAAGUACUUGAGGAUAAUCCAGAAAUGGAGGACAUGUGUAGCUCUUAUGCCAUCUAAAUAAAAUACUUUUGCGUACACGUUAUCUUAAUUUCUUCUAUUAGCUAAAGAUUUAGGGUAUCAUUUUUUUCAAAAGAAGGUCAAACACACAGAGAAAGGUGGGCCCAGGAUGCCCCUGAAAACAUGAUAUUGGGCACUCCUUCCCCUUUUUUGGUGUGCUUCGGAGUUUACAUAUCUGUGCUACAUUCUCUCCCUUGUUGUUUUUUGCACAUGGAAUUUAUUUUUAUUCUGUUCACUAUGAACCAUGCUCAAGAUUCAGUUAUUUACAGUCAACUGUGAAUUUUAAAAAUACUAUUGCGAUAACACUUCUCUAGGAAUCUCUAGGUCUUCCAGCAAAACUCUGCUAGAAUUGGAUCAUUAGAGAUUCCUAGAGAGUUGCUCUUUCUAGAAAUCUGUAGAUCUUGUAGCAUGACUCUAUGAUUAACUUAAGCUGGAAGUUGACCAUAGAAUUACAUUGGAGGAUCUAGAAUUUUAUAGAAAGAACAUUUUAAUGAAAUCCACAAAUAAUAAAAUCCACAAGAACCAAACCAGCAAAUGUCAAAGGCUGACUGUGUUUCCAUUUCCAGUGAAUUCCAGACUCAACAAUUGGACUGUUACAGAUCACCCAGAGGCUGGUGGUUUAACUGAUGAUUUAGAGAGGGUUGAUGGCUUUCGUGUGGCACAAAGUUCAGGCCUGGGAAAUGAUGGUUCUCUCUGUGGAAAAACUGGCUCGGAAAGUGCAGGGCCUCAAGGUCAGAGGAGCCAAAAGUAGCAUCAGCAGAUAAGGAGUUGAGUGAUAAGGAGGAUUCCCAGGAGUAUCCACCUGUAGCUACAGAGAUUAACAAAAGUCUUUGUUUACAAAUCAGAACUGAAAAUAGAUUACGUUGGUCAGAAAGAUUAUGUAGAAAGGUUGUGGAGUAAAAUCAUAGGAGACAUAAUGCUUUCAUGGAUGUCUAUUAAACAAGUUGUUUACCUUAAGGGCAGUUCAGGCAAUGCUGCAUUAGAGUGAGAAGCUAAACCUGAGUUCUCUUGUACCUGGUUCAAGUCAAGCCUUCGUUUUGGAUUUAAUAUAUCCCAGAAGUUUUCUAUGUUCCUGUUCAUGUAUUGCUGUUCAGGUUUUUACUAGUUAUACCUUCUUGCUUGUGGACUGAUGCUGUACCUGUGAUUUCUGGCUGUUCCUUGACUUUGUCACCUUUGGAAACUUAUGAGACAUUUGGAUUACUUACACCUAUUGCUAAACCUUUUUGGAUUAUACAUUUUCCUUUCUUAUUCCUGCUUUUUACAUGCUUUUUAUAUGUUGUUACAAUAAACAGUUUGUUUAUA